GCCUGUCGCUUGGAGACGGAGUGACUCCAAACGGGCUCACACGGUUUUCUGAGAAACAUAAAGGGAAACCGAAUCCACCAAUAUAUAUAUAUAUUUUCUUGAGACGGCGUCUCGCUCUGUCACCCAGGCUGGAGUGCAGUGGCGUGAUCUCGGCUCACUGCAAACUCCGCCUCCCGGGUUGACGCCAUUCUUCUGCCUCAGCCUCCCGAGUAGCUGGGACUACAGGCGCCCGCCGCCACGCCCGGCUAAUUUUUUUGUAUUUUAGUAGAGACGGGGAGUCACCGUGUUGCCCAGGCUGGUCGCGAACUCCUGAGCUCAGGCAAUCCGCCCGCCUUGGCCUCCCAAAGUGCUAGGAUUACAGGCGUGAGCCACCGCGCCCGGCCCACCAAUACUCAAUUGGUUUGACUUCAGUUGAGGAAACCAGAAAAAAUUUAAAUAUAUUUAUGGAAAGAAGCUAUUGGGAGAGUGGCUGAGUACUGAGUCUAUCACUACUUGGAUGAUACAGCUUCUGUCUUCAAGAUAAGCAGAAUUGUUCAGAAUCCACUGGAAUCCAAAUUCAACUUGGGCCUCAAUUUCUGCAGAUGGACACCUCUGGACUCCAAAAAAUCCAAGGACAUAAAAAACUUAAGCAGCCUUUAUUACAUUUAGUUCAACAAGUUUAAAGUGUAGGUCACUUUCCACUUUUGUUUACUUGAUGCUUAAUUUUACUGGAAUCGUUAAAAGAAAUAUACUUGCAAUUUUUUUAAAAAGGUAUCUAUUUCUGAGGCCAGUCUUGGUGUCUAGAGUUUUCAAGGUAGUAUUAAUGACAGCACGUAGAACCUCAAAGCUCAUUUGUCGGUGAAAAUGCUGUGCUAAGCCUGGCAGAAGUCUGCUCCCACACUCAGAAUCACCAUAAAUGUGCAACAUCACCAGAAAGUGCUGGUGUGCUGGGCACUGGGCAUUGGAGUUGGGGAUGGCUGCCCCAGCCUCUGUACACGACACCUGGCCUGGUGGAUCCAGAGUUAGUCUUGCUGCCCAGCUGCCACUCCAGCCACUCCCUAGACACAAUUUUAAAUUGUCAGAUAUACCUUUAGUAAAGCUGAAAAAACAAUUCCAGAGGAAUUAAAAGGAGGAAAAUUUUCUAUUUAUUAAAUAGCAUAAAGAUACCCUUCUGUCUUCAAGAUAAGCAGAAUUGUUCAGAAUCCACUGGAAUCCAAAUUCAACUUGGGCCUCAAUUUCUGCAGAUGGACACCUCUGGACUCCAAAAAAUCCAAGGACAUAAAAAACUUAAGCAGCCUUUAUUACAUUUAGUUCAACAAGUUUAAAGUGUAGGUCACUUUCCACUUUUGUUUACUUGAUGCUUAAUUUUACUGGAAUCGUUAAAAGAAAUAUACUUGCAAUUUUUUUAAAAAGGUAUCUAUUUCUGAGGCCAGUCUUGGUGUCUAGAGUUUUCAAGGUAGUAUUAAUGACAGCACGUAGAACCUCAAAGCUCAUUUGUCGGUGAAAAUGCUGUGCUAAGCCUGGCAGAAGUCUGCUCCCACACUCAGAAUCACCAUAAAUGUGCAACAUCACCAGAAAGUGCUGGUGUGCUGGGCACUGGGCAUUGGAGUUGGGGAUGGCUGCCCCAGCCUCUGUACACGACACCUGGCCUGGUGGAUCCAGAGUUAGUCUUGCUGCCCAGCUGCCACUCCAGCCACUCCCUAGACACAAUUUUAAAUUGUCAGAUAUACCUUUAGUAAAGCUGAAAAAACAAUUCCAGAGGAAUUAAAAGGAGGAAAAUUUUCUAUUUAUUAAAUAGCAUAAAGAUACCAAAA
This 1793-nucleotide long non-coding RNA is filed under the name Homo sapiens (human). RNAcentral describes it as "non-protein coding lnc-ZNF891-2:1". Lineage: Eukaryota; Metazoa; Chordata; Mammalia; Primates; Hominidae. The record is from RNAcentral.